Saimiri boliviensis boliviensis (Bolivian squirrel monkey) is the source of this 659-nucleotide long non-coding RNA. RefSeq lists it as uncharacterized. The record is from RefSeq and is a predicted model, not a curated record. NCBI's taxonomy places the organism in Eukaryota, Metazoa, Chordata, Mammalia, Primates, Cebidae.
GGGGAGGCCAUGGCGAGGGCUGCUGCUUCCUUCCUGUCCAGAAAACAGAUCACCGAGGCCUGAGAGCGGCCCGGGGCUGCGCGCCGGAUAAACGCAGGCGGCGUGAAUCAGGCUUCUCCAAGGAGCGGAUAAGAAAGUCACUGAUUCCGCAUUUGUCAAAGAUCUUUCAUUCCGCGGGGCCAGGGAAAUUCCCCAAGGCACCAGCACCGCCUCCAGAGGGCCCAGGGAUCCCAGUACUUCUCCGUGGUAGCUUUCGUCACAAGUGCAACUGAAUAAUGAUGGGCAAGGCUGCUGGCUCAGUCGCUGUCUCCCCUGCUAUGUCGAAAGCACCAAGUAUUCACGGACUCUCUCCCUUGCUGGCUUUGAGGAAGUCAGCUGCUAUGUCAUGAGCAGCUGUAAAAGGACCCCGUGGCCAGGAGCUGAGGGCGGCAUCCAGUCCACAUCCAAGGAAGUAAAUGCUGGAAACAAUCAAGUGCACUUGGGAACGGACUCUUCCUCAGUCGAGCCUCAGAUGAGAACGCAGCCCCAGCAUGGAUUGCAGCCUUCAGAGGACCCAGUAGAGCCAUGUCUAGACUCCUGACCCACAGACAGCUGGCCCCAGGCCAUCACUAGGGGAAGCUCUAUGUGUUUUUAUAUAUAUACACAAACACAAGCAUAUA